UUUCCAUUUGGUCUACUCUUUUUUUUUUUUUCUUUCCUUAGAAUUCACUUCUGAAGAUUUAAUAGGAACUGCUAGAACUCUAUAUCUCAUUAGUCUGCAAAAAUAUUCUAUUUCAGUACAAUGGCAAUUUUUAAAAGCACCCGCAAUGAACGAUGAGAACACUAAGUUGAGCCUUGUAACAAGCAUUUAGCUCGUGACCGUAUUGCUGUGCUCAUGUGACUGGAUGGAACAUCAAACUUCUGGAAGUCAGGAAAUACCAGAAAAAAAAGAAAAAAACCAAAACCCUUUUCAUGUUAUAAUUCCAUCUUUAUCCACAAGAUCCCAAUUUUAUCUGGGACCCCAGCCAACACUGUAGGCAUGUGUCUGACCAUAUAAAAUGUUGACCCAGACACUAGCUUGCUGAGAUAGCUUCCUGGCAUGACCUUGGAUCUUGCAGCUAUAGACUUGCCUGACUCUCACUACUGUGGUUGUGCACCUCUAACCCAGCUCCUUUGUUCACAUGUCAACCAGUUGGUCAUCUCCAUCCUUGCUGCUUCUUUCAGUUCUCUGCUGAGAUUACCUAACUCCCUAACAAGGCACAGUAAUGAUCACCUCUUCCAUUCCUGUUUAAUUUUCUGACUUUUUUUUUUUGUGUGUGUUAUCUAGCUAGUAGAGGAAUCUGAUGAAGGCAAGGAUGGUGCAAGCUGUAAAGGAAACAUCAGACUCUUGAUGUCUAAAGUACUUCAUUAGCAUUAACUGGUGGAUAAAGAAGAGGAUGCAUUAUUAAAUGUUGUUGGAUACGUGGAGACUGCAGCAUGCACAGAAAAUGUCAACAAUUUCCCAAGAUUUGGGGAAGUGGAAGAGAAGAAUGUUUGAUGUGAAAUGUUUAUGACCUGUUGUUUUUUUCAGCACAUUGAGCCUUUGCAACAUUUGCUUUUGCUCAGAGUACAGGUCCCAGAUGAAAGCUGCACUUUUUCAGUUUCCUUUCUGUUUUAGAGCCCAGUUCUUGGUUUACUGCUGUGCUUGUCAGGUUGAAGUACAGCUCUAUAUAGUUUAAACUGAGAAAGUUAACGGAUCCAAGUGAAAAAUCUGUUUACCUUGGAGUUUUUUAAAUGUCACCCAGUCAUUUCCAUCACUUGUGGCUUUCAAAGUUAUUAUUUUGAAUAGUAAUAGCACUGUGGCAUAUAAGUAUUCAGCUUUAUAACAGAGCCUCAUUAUCUUAAAUUCUCACAACACUGUCAUCCAUCAGCUCUGGGAAAUAAGAAAUGUGAAUGUAAAAAUAAAAUAAGAAUGUUACAUUUUUA
Molecule: long non-coding RNA, 1283 nt
Organism: Gallus gallus (chicken)
Lineage: Eukaryota; Metazoa; Chordata; Aves; Galliformes; Phasianidae
Exons: 2
Source: RefSeq, a predicted model, not a curated record